RNAcentral lists this ribosomal RNA (321 nucleotides) under uncultured bacterium. RNAcentral's name for it is "bacterial SSU rRNA". It matches the Rfam family "Bacterial small subunit ribosomal RNA", at positions 29 to 362 of the family's 1533-position model. The record is from RNAcentral.
AAUGAACGUUGGCGGCGUGGAUUAGGCAUGCAAGUCGUGCGCGAACUGUAGCAAUACAGGGAAAGCGGCGUAAGGGAGAGUAAUACGUAGGUAUCUACCCAUGGGUCUGGGAUAGCGGCGGGAAACUGCCGGUAAUACCAGAUAACGUCUCCGGACCAAAGGUGUGAUUCCACCUGUGGAGGAGCCUACGGCCUAUUAGCUAGUUGGCAGGGUAACGGCCUACCAAGGCUUGGAUGGGUACGGGGUGUGAGAGCAUGCCCCCCGCUCACUGGGACGUGAGACACUGCCCACGANACCUACGGGUGGGCUGCAGUCGAGAAU